Molecule: ribosomal RNA, 497 nt
Filed under: uncultured bacterium
Lineage: Bacteria
Description: partial 16S ribosomal RNA
Rfam family: Bacterial small subunit ribosomal RNA
Source: RNAcentral
GAUGAACGCUGGCGGCGUGCCUAAUACAUGCAAGUCGAGCGAACAGACGAGGAGCUUGCUCCUCUGACGUUAGCGGCGGACGGGUGAGUAACACGUGGAUAACCUACCUAUAAGACCGGGAUAACUUCGGGAAACCGGAGCUAAUACCGGAUAAUAUAUUGAACCGCAUGGUUCAAUAGUGAAAGACGGUUUUGCUGGCACUUAUAGAUGGAUCCGCGCCGCAUUAGCUAGUUGGUAAGGUAACGGCUUACCAAGGCAACGAUGCGUAGCCGACCUGAGAGGGUGAUCGGCCACACUGGAACUGAGACACGGUCCAGACUCCUACGGGAGGCAGCAGUCGGGAAUCUUCCGCAAUGGGCGAAAGCCUGACGGAGCAACGCCGCGUGAGUGAUGAAGGUCUUCGGAUCGUAAAACUCUGUUAUUAGGGAAGAACAAAUGUGUAAGUAACUAUGCACGUCUUGACGGUACCUAAUCAGAAAGCCACGGCUAACUACGUG